This 465-nucleotide ribosomal RNA is filed under the name uncultured bacterium. RNAcentral's name for it is "partial 16S ribosomal RNA". It matches the Rfam family "Bacterial small subunit ribosomal RNA", at positions 28 to 507 of the family's 1533-position model. The record is from RNAcentral.
GACGAACGCUGGCGGCGUGCUUAACACAUGCAAGUCGAACGGAAAGGCCCUGCUUGCAGGGUACUCGAGUGGCGAACGGGUGAGUAACACGUGGGUGAUCUGCCCUGCACUUCGGGAUAAGCCUGGGAAACUGGGUCUAAUACCGGAUAGGAGCCAUUUUUAGUGUGCUGGUUGGAAGGUUUUUUCGGUGUGGAAUGAGCUCGCGCCCUACAUGCUUGUUGUUGGGGUAUAGGCCUACCAGGGCGGGAUCGGGUACCCGGCCUUGGAGGGUGACCGGCCACAUUGGGACUGAGCUACGGCCCAGGCUCCUACUGGAGGCAGCAGUGGGGAAUAUUUCACCAUGGGCGCCAGCCUGAUGCAGCGACGCCGCGUGUGGGAUGACGGCCUUCGUGUUGUAAACUCCUUUCGCUAGGGACGAAGCUUUUUGUGACGUUACCUAGAUUAGAAGCACCGGCUAACUACGUG